This 616-nucleotide ribosomal RNA is filed under the name uncultured soil bacterium. RNAcentral's name for it is "bacterial SSU rRNA". It matches the Rfam family "Bacterial small subunit ribosomal RNA", at positions 35 to 653 of the family's 1533-position model. The record is from RNAcentral.
GUUGGCGGCGUGGAUUAGGCAUGCAAGUCGAACGAAUCCCGGUGGGGGUAACUCUGCCGGGGGAAGUGGCGAAAGGGGCAGUAAGGCGUGGACAACCUGCCCCGGGGACGGGGAUAGCCCUCCUAACGGAGGGGUAAUACCUGGCGACCUGAGUGGGGGGCCUCCCUCGCUCAGCAAAGGAGUUUCGCCCCGGGAGGGGUUCACGUGGUAUUAGCUAGACGGCGGGGUAACGGCCCACCGUGGCCAAGAUGCCUAGCAGGUGUGAGAGCACGACCUGCGCCACUGGCACUGUGACACUGGCCAGACUCCUACGGGAGGCUGCAGUCGAGGAUCUUCGGCAAUGGGCGCAAGCCUGACCGAGCGACGCCGCGUGUGCGAUGAAGGCCUUCGGGUUGUAAAGCACUGUCGAGGGGGAGGAAAGCCCGCAAGGGCCUGACCUAUCCCUGGAGGAAGCACGGGCUAAGUUCGUGCCAGCAGCCGCGGUAAGACGAACCGUGCGAACGUUGUUCGGAUUCACUGGGCUUAAAGGGCGCGUAGGCGGGCGGCAACGUCGGGGGUGAAAUCUCACGGCCCAACCGUGAAACAGCCUCCGAUACGGGCCGCCUCGAGGGAGGUA